This 460-nucleotide ribosomal RNA is filed under the name uncultured bacterium. RNAcentral's name for it is "partial 16S ribosomal RNA". It matches the Rfam family "Bacterial small subunit ribosomal RNA", at positions 338 to 795 of the family's 1533-position model. The record is from RNAcentral.
CCUACGGGUGGCAGCAGUGAGGAAUAUUGGUCAAUGGACGAGAGUCUGAACCAGCCAUGCAGCGUGCAGGAUGACUGCCCUAUGAGUUGUAAACUUCUUUUAUACAGGGAUAAAACGAGACACGUGUGCCUUUUUGCAUGUACUUUAUGAAUAAGGAUCGGCUAACUCCGUGCCAGCAGCCGCGGUAAUACGGAGGAUUCGAGCGUUAUCCGGAUUUAUUGGGUUUAAAGGGGGCGUAGAUGGUUGGUUAAGUUAGUGGUGAAAGUCUGCGGCUCAACCGUAAAAUUGCAAUUGAUACUGGCAGUCUUGAGUACAGUUGAGGUAGGCGGAAUUCGUGGUGUAGCGGUGAAAUGCUUAGAGAUCACGAAGAACCCCGAUUGCGAAGGCAGCUUACUAAACUGUGACUGACAUUGAUGCUCGAAAGUGUGGGUAUCAAACAGGAUUAGAUACCCUGGUAGUC